GAUUCUAUAGCUCAGUUGGUUAGAACGUGGUGCUGGUAAUGCCAACGUUGCAGGUUCAAUCCCUGAAUGGGACAGCU
This is a non-coding RNA of Podarcis lilfordi (Lilford's wall lizard), 77 nucleotides long. The record is from the annotation of a GenBank genome assembly. NCBI's taxonomy places the organism in Eukaryota, Metazoa, Chordata, Lepidosauria, Squamata, Lacertidae.